Pimephales promelas (fathead minnow) is the source of this 3217-nucleotide non-coding RNA. The record is from RefSeq and is a predicted model, not a curated record. Lineage: Eukaryota; Metazoa; Chordata; Actinopteri; Cypriniformes; Leuciscidae.
CCGAAAACGCAAGUGCGCAGACUCAAGUCCCAAGACAAUGGCGGCUUCAGUUAUUUUCGAUGGAAAAGAGCGAAGAACUUCUGAGACUGUUGGAAAGGCAAUGAACUAUAAAGCCAUAAGAUGUUCCUCUGGGUUUCCAUUACUAUCCCAUCAGCCUCUCUCUCUCUCUCUCUCUCGCUCUCUCUCGGGUGAUGUUUCAGGGAGUUUGCAGUUGUCCAAUGCCACACUGGGAGUCUUUGUCAUCCGCCGUCUUUGAUUAUGAUGUCGCCCUUGCGGAAUCCCGUGGAAUGUGGCGGAAUGCUGCAGGAAUCCAGGAAUCAUUCCAGAAUGUUUGAGCGUUAACUCUUUCAGGACAAUAGAGAGAGAGAGAUUGAAAGAGAGUGGAUGGUAGUCCUAGAGUUAAAAGCAUUUUAUUCUAUGGCGUUAGAAGUGCUUGCACAUGCAUAACUGACCACCACACACAAUGCUAAUGGUUGCUAGGGCGUUACUAUGCAAUUCUGAAGGGUAAAUCUGUAUGCAUGUUGCAUGAGUGUUGAAAUUGGUUGCUAUGGCAUUGCAAGGUGGUUGCUAGGGUGCUCUGCAUUGCUUUGUAGUUGCCAGGGUGUUUCUAUGAUGUUGCUAAGUUGUUUUUAGAUGCAUUUCCAUGCUCUGGUUAGAGAGUGGUUUUCAGAGCAGUGUUUUGUGGUUGCCUGGGUGUUGCUAUGAUGUUGCUAUGGUGUUCUGAGUGUUUUUUAUAGCAUUGCUUAGUGGUUGCCAGGGUUUUACAGUCAUGUUGCGAGGGUGUUCUGAAUGGGUUUCAGUGCAUUGCUUUGUGGUUGCUAGGAUGUUGCUAUGGGUUUGCUUGGGUGUUCUAAGUGGCUUUAAGCCUAUUGAUUAGUGGUUGCUAUGAUGUUGCCAGAGUGUUUUUAGUGCCUUGCUAUGCAGGUACGGAUACUUUCUAGUUGCUAUAGUGUUGCUCUGAGUGGUUUUCAGGGCAUUGCUUAGUGGUUCCUAGGGUGUUGCUAUGAUGUUGCUUUGGGUGUUCUAAGUGGAUUUCAGUGCAUUGUUUAAUGGUUGCCAGGGUGUUGCUAUGAUGUUGCUUUGAGUGGUCUAAGUGGUUUUCAGUGCAUUGUUUAGUGGUUGCCAGGGUGUUGCUAGAGAGUUUUUAGGUGCAUUGAUAUACAGGUAUGGAAACUUUCUGGUUGCUAGGGUGUUCUAAGUGGCUUUAAGCCUAUUGAUUAGUGGUUGCCAUGGUGUUGCUAUGAUGUUGCCAGAGUGUUUUUAAUGUAUUGAUUAUCCUUAAUACAUUGAGGAUACACUGGUUUCAAAACACUAGUUUCCAGGGUGUUGCCAUGAUGUUGCUUGGGUGUUCUAAGUCGUUUUCAGAGCAUUGUUUAGUAGUUGCCAGGGUGUUGCUAUAAUGUUGCUAGAGAGUUCUUCGGUGCAUUGAUAUGCAGGUAUGGAAACUUUAUGGUUGCUAGGGUGUUCUGAGUGGCUUUAAGCCUAUUGAUUAGUGGUUGCCAUGGUGUUGCUAUGAUGUUGCCAGAGUGUUUUUAAUGUAUUGAUUAUCCUUAAUACAUCGAGGAUACACUGGUUUCAAAACACUAGUUUCCAGGGUGUUGCUAUGAUGUUGCUUGGGUGUUCUAAGUCGUUUUCAGAGCAUUGUUUAGUGGUUGCCAGGGUAUUGCUAUAAUGUUGCUAGAGAGUUCUUCGGUGCAUUGAUAUGCAGGUAUGGAAACUUUAUGGUUGCUAGGGUGUUCUGAGUGGCUUUAAGCCUAUUGAUUAGUGGUUGCCAUGGUGUUGCUAUGAUGUUGCCAGAGUGUUUUUAAUGUAUUGAUUAUCCUUAAUACAUCGAGGAUACACUGGUUUCAAAACACUAGUUUCCAGGGUGUUGCUAUGAUGUUGCUUGGGUGUUCUAAGUCGUUUUCAGAGCAUUGUUUAGUGGUUGCCAGGGUAUUGCUAUGAUGUUGCUAGAGAGUUCUUAGGUGCAUUGAUAUGCAGGUAUGAAAACUUUAUGGUUGCUAGGGUGUUCUAAGUGGCUUUAAGCCUAUUGAUUAGUGGUUGCCCUGGUGUUGCUAUGAUGUUGCCAGAGUGUUUUUAGUGCAUUGCUAUGCAGAUACUGAUACUUUUACUGAUAGUUGCUAGGGUGUUCUGAGUGCUUUUCUUUUCAUUGCUUAAUGGUUGCCAGGGUGUUGCUAAUGGUUGCCAGGGAGUUUGCUAAGGUGCUUUUUCGGUGCAUUGCUAUAUGCGGUAACUAAAAUGUUGUGUGUUUUUUAGAGCAUUGCUUAGUGGUUGCAAGGAUGUUGAAGUUAAAAGAGACACAGUUUGAGAAUUAUUCAUGUCUGCAACAAACAGUGUGAGACGUUUAACAGUGUUGGAACAGUAAGUAUGUUCUGCAAACUCCACUUAAAAUUAAACAUGCAACUAAUGGAUAAAACACUCAUUUGAUGUAUUGUCUGUUAGUGUAGCCAUGCAAUAGUGUGUUUAGCGCAAAGGGAGAAUAUAAACUGUCUGUUUCCUGUGUGUGUGAGUGAGAGAGAGAGAAACAAAUAUAUUAAGAUAAACAUCAGGAUGUACGCUAGAGUUUCUGUGUCAACACUGUGCACACUGGCCCUGGUUACCCACAACACACACACACAGUGUCCCUCAGGAGGUAAAUCACCACACACCCUCCUCCGUCAGCUGAGGGUCAGGGAAAGCGGGCACAGUCUGGAUCAGACCAGCUUUCGUACUGUCACUCAGGCCCACACCUGGAUCAUGUGUGCAUGAUGUACUGUAAUGUUGUGUGUCCUCUUGAAAUCUAUUGAUUCAGUGUUUAAACAUUGACACUUUAUGAAUCCAAACUGUCUAAUCUAAUUGUUAAGGGUAAUGCUACUGUUGUUUACAUAGUAAAAUACAUUUGAAUUACUACUGUAUAUGAUUUUUAUGCCUAUAAUGGGAAUAUUUACAGAACCAAAACAAUGACAUUUUAUAAAUCCAAUUUCCAAUCAAAAUUGUGUAAAUUAAUUGCAUUUUAAUAGCUUGAGUCUGUGAGUUUACUGUACAAUAGCAGUAUAUACAGUAAUUUGCUUUUUAAAAUAAAAGUCUUCUUGGGGAAAUUCCUGGAAAUAAUUACAAGUUUGGAAAUUGCAUGUAUUUCUGUAUGCACUGUGUACCCAGAAUACAAGGCUGGCUGGUAUUUCAGAUACAUGUAUUUUAAAUACGUAAUUUGUAAUUAAAUAUUUUUUCUGGAAGAAGG